UACGUAGGGGGCUAGCGUUGUCCGGAAUCAUUGGGCGUAAAGCGCGUGUAGGCGGUUCGGUAAGUCUGCUGUGAAAGUCGGGGGCUCAACCCUCGAAUGCCGGUGGAUACUGUCGGGCUAGAGUACGGAAGAGGCGAGUGGAAUUCCUGGUGUAGCGGUGAAAUGCGCAGAUAUCAGGAGGAACACCAAUUGCGAAGGCAGCUCGCUGGGACGUAACUGACGCUGAGACGCGAAAGCGUGGGGAGCAAACAGG
RNAcentral lists this ribosomal RNA (253 nucleotides) under uncultured bacterium. RNAcentral describes it as "partial 16S ribosomal RNA". It matches the Rfam family "Bacterial small subunit ribosomal RNA", at positions 524 to 776 of the family's 1533-position model. The record is from RNAcentral.